UACGAAGGGGGCUGGCGUUGCUCGGAAUCACUGGGCGUAAAGCGCACGUAGGCGGCUUUCUAAGUCAGGGGUGAAAUCCUGGAGCUCAACUCCAGAACUGCCUUUGAUACUGGAGAGCUCGAGUCCGGAAGAGGUGAGUGGAACUGCGAGUGUAGAGGUGAAAUUCGUAGAUAUUCGCAAGAACACCAGUGGCGAAGGCGGCUCACUGGUCCGGUACUGACGCUGAGGUGCGAAAGCGUGGGGAGCAAACAGG
Molecule: ribosomal RNA, 253 nt
Filed under: uncultured bacterium
Lineage: Bacteria
Description: partial 16S ribosomal RNA
Rfam family: Bacterial small subunit ribosomal RNA
Source: RNAcentral